Molecule: long non-coding RNA, 701 nt
Organism: Eucalyptus grandis
Lineage: Eukaryota; Viridiplantae; Streptophyta; Magnoliopsida; Myrtales; Myrtaceae
Exons: 3
Source: RefSeq, a predicted model, not a curated record
AGCAGGUGCAGGUACGGAAGCGAAGGAAGCCAAGCUUCUCUGUAACUCUCUCUGUAUAGCGCGUUUUCGCGUUCUCACCUCUCGGGCGAUCGCCUCCUUUUGACUUCGUCGCGAUGGAGAAGAAGGACGAUCCGACAUUUUCCGGGAAACUGCUCGAUUCGCGUGUUCUUCUGACUCGCGACUCGUGAGGGAAUUUUUGCUCGGAUUCUGUUGCAGACGGUAGCGGCAUUCGUGAUUGCGGUGGUUGGGUAGGUGCGUGCGUCCUUUCGUCGAUUCCCCUGCGCCCGUCGAUCCCGGAACAAGGUUGAUCUCUUGUCAUAAUCAGUUCUUGCGGAUUAGGGUAAAAUGCGUGCACCGUCAUUGCUUGCACAGUGUUUACCUUGGUUCACUCCCCAUGACCGUGGGAGUCAGAAUGUGCCAUCUAUUCCGGAAAGAGCCUGCCUUCUCCAGCUGUGGAAAUUCUUCUGUCCAAGACAACUCAUCCUUACAAAUAUGCUGGAGAAAGUGUUGACAUGCAAGGUCUUACCGUAUUACCUGAACUUAAUAUGAUGGAGUCUUUCGGAACAAGCACCAAUCUCCUAAGUAACCCGGCUGUUACCCAUAAGCUCGAAGCCCAGCUUUGAUGCUGACAGUCACACAGAGAGAGAGAUUUAGCAGUCGGUUUUGCCUCACCGUCAUCUUGUUCUGCAGGCCUCUCUACG